GGAAGUGUGGCCGAGCGGUUGAAGGCCCCGGUCUUGAAAACCGGCGACCCGAAAGGGUUCCAGAGUUCGAAUCUCUGCGCUUCCGCCA
RNAcentral lists this transfer RNA (88 nucleotides) under Salmonella enterica subsp. enterica serovar Rubislaw. Its description in RNAcentral is "tRNA-Ser". It matches the Rfam family "tRNA". Rfam says of the family: Transfer RNA (tRNA) molecules are approximately 80 nucleotides in length. RNAcentral also lists the same sequence under 1 other name. Lineage: Bacteria; Pseudomonadati; Pseudomonadota; Gammaproteobacteria; Enterobacterales; Enterobacteriaceae. The record is from RNAcentral.